Molecule: long non-coding RNA, 3682 nt
Filed under: Callithrix jacchus (white-tufted-ear marmoset)
Lineage: Eukaryota; Metazoa; Chordata; Mammalia; Primates; Cebidae
Description: lncRNA (ENSCJAG00000069902.1)
Source: RNAcentral
AUGUGGUGUCCUUGUUGGCAGGCAGUGAUUGGUGAAAUUUUUUAUCUGUCAUCUUUCUCUGCCUCUACCUAUGCAAAAAUUCUUAAUAAAAGAAUAUUUAAUGCAACGAACCUAAGUACAUCAAAGCUAUAUAAAUCUAGAAUUCAUAAUGCUACUCAAAUAAAUCUUAUGCACCAUCUAGUACACCAACUCUUUAUUCUGAAAAGUGGUAAAUAAUGAGAAAAGAAAAAGAAACAUUGUUUUUUUCUGUUUUAUUGUUGGGUAGUCAAUAAGAAGAGAGAAUCUUCUGUAUAAAUAAAAAUCACAGGUAAUAUACAUAGGAUGAAUGAUAUAAUUUUUAGAUUUUGAUUUUGCAAUCUCUAAUGAAAGAACGGAUUUAGGCAAUGAUCAAUAGUGAGCGCUAAAAGUGUUUGGUGAAAGGUUGAUGGGGAAGUUUAUGAAAGAGGAAUAAGUCUGAUACAUUUGAUUUCUAUUGCUGUCGUCGGAAAUUACCAAAAGUGAGUGACUUAACACAAAUUUAUUACCUUAAAGUUUUGUAGGUUAGAAGUCCAAGCACAAGAUGUGGCUUGUGUGGUUUUCUUGCCAGGGUUUCACUAUGCAGAAAUAAAAUCAGUAGGACUGUGUUUCCAGAGUCUCUCGCGAUAAAUCUAUUUUCAACUUCAUCCAUGUUAUCAGCGUAAUUCAUUUCCAUGGGAUGGUGAGACUGAGAUCUCAUUGACUUGUUUGUUUUUGGCUAGAGGGAAUUCUCAGCCACUAAAGGCAUUGUCCCCUUCCUCCAUCUUUACAGUCAGCGAAGGAAGUCUAGUCAUUCUCAUGCUGUGACUAUCCCUGACCUCUCCUUUCUAUCUCAUCACUUCUGCUUUCUCUUCCCUCUGACUCCAGCCUGAGAAAUUUAUCUGCUUUUAAAGGGUCAAGUGAUUAGAUUGGGUCCACCCAGAUCAUCGAAGAUAAUCUCCCUAUCGUAACUGCGUCCACAAAGACCCUUCAUAACACUACCUAGAUUAUUGUUUAAGUAACCGGGUGUUGGGAAUCUUGAGUGGACAUCUUUGUAAUUCUGCCUCAAAGAGCUGACAAUACUUAGACCCACUGUUUAAUCCCAAUUGUAAUUUUGAUGAAAAACAAGUGAUGAUGGGGUGACAUAUUAAAGGAGAUCGGCAAAGUGUUAACUGCUGGAGGCAGGUGAUGGGUACAUGGGGUUUUAUGAUGUUAUUACAAAAUUCUAUCUUUUUGUGUAUAUGCUUCCAUAAUAAAAAGGACAAAUAAAUACCCAACCACCUCAGGGUUUCCAAGAUUAAUGCCUCAACUGCAUUCAAGAAUGCAUCCAUAGUUGGUUUUGCAUGCAGCCUUCUAUCUUCUUCUCUCUUCUCCAGAACCAUAAAAUUACUAUUUUUCUUGACAGAGUCUUAGUUGGUGAUUGCAAUUAGUGAAACCAGUCCUGCCUUGAGAGUAAGGAGACAGGAACCCGUCUAAUAACUAAACAGCCAUUGCUGGCUAUCUUCACCCUUUGUAACUGAAUUUAUAAAUGGAAAUGCCCAGUCAUAUCAUGAAGCCUCCAUUACUAGUGUACUGGUUACAACAUGCUAAAGAAUCUGGCCACCUCUCUAUUAAUGAAUUUGCUGCAGCAGGGGAAAAGCAUAUGCUCUAUGCUGUGCUGCUUCCUGACCUGUUGCAAUUUUUUUCCUAAAGGAUCUUAUUACCAUUUCUAUAAAGAUUUUGUCUCCUCCACACCUCAAAGUUUGCCUCUUAAGUCAGUUUUAAAGAAACGUCUAGAUAGAUGAUAAGUUUAAAAAUAUACAAAAUAAAAUUAAGUAAUAUUAAAAUUUAUCUAAGUUUCUGCAUUUUUGGAAUUAUAAGGCUUCCUCAGUUCCUGCUGCAAGAUAAACUUUCUCAGGUUGAUGAAUAAGGACAAAAUCAAUUUCCACUGCAUAUGUCAGGUUGCAGUCUUUUCGUAACGUCAAUUAUACCCAGUUACAAUUAUUAAAAUAAAAUAUUUGAGUUUUUUUGGAAAGCUGAAUAAUUCAGUCUUAUCUAUGAUCACCUUGCUUCCUGAGGAUACACAUGGAUCUUACUUAACCAUCAUCAAAACAUAAGGAAAUUCUAGCAACUAUACCUUGCACCUCUCUCAGAGCCUGCAUAUUGCUCACAUGCUUCUUUCUGAGUGUCUUUCCUACCCUUUUCUUAUAAAAUGACCUAUUGCUUCUAAAUGUUCUAGAAGAAAUCGGUCAUGAGGAUCUUGCAAAUUAGAAUGACCUAUAUUGGUAAAUUCAUGGCCUAGCUAGCUGGUUCUUUACAUCAAGCAACCUCAGGGGUUACCAGCUAGUCUAAAAAUAAUCUUCAGUUUAGUUACUUUUCUGAUCAUAGUUCAAUAAACUGUCAAGCUUGAGCAAAGUGUGGUCUAAAAUGUUCAUGAAUAAAGACUGUGUUUGGGUAAUUACAUCUUUCAGAGUUUGAACCUGUGAUGUACCCUGAAUGACAUGCCCAGUAUACAGUGAAGCAAGUGAUUUAAGCUGAGUGACAAAUAUAGUAGUCAGAAUGAAAGACGAAAGAAAAAAAAUAAAUUAGAAAUGUCUGGAGUCUAUAAUCAGCAGAAAAACAUUUUGAAAUGAAUUGCUUAGAAAGUGGAGGACGAAUAGUGAAGGAAGAAAUUAGAGUUCUAGUAAAGCUUUAGUUUAUUUAUUAAUUUUUGUUUGUCUCUACCACUCAAACAAAAGCAGAACUGUGUAUAUUUGAAGACAUGACUUGAAGGAUAUAGGGAAAAAAGGUUAAUACUUUUGGAAAAAGAGGGAAUGUUUGAUCCACUUAAGAGUUACGAUCAAAGGUACAAUGUUAGCCUAUUUCAGGUGGAAAUGGCAAUAAACAAUUUGAAGCUUUGUGAAAAUAUGCAAGUCUGAUCUAACCAGAAGUAUUGUAUUAUUACAAACUUUUGAAGAAAUACAACAUAUAAACAGAGCUCUUCUGGAGGAAUAGAGUUGGCAUUGAUGUCAUAGUAUCUAUGUUUAGUCAACAGGGUAGGAAAAGACAGAUUAUUUUUAGUUUAAAUAGUACCUUAUUGGUUUGGUUCUUAUUCUAUUGCUUGAAAAGAUAAUAUGUGCUGACUUUAAAAAGAGCACUAGAUUUUACAUAAAAGUAGCUACUAAUCAUGAAAGUAAAAGGUAUUUAAAAUUUAUUUUUUUGGAAUGUAUGUAGCCUGCUAUGGCCUUAUAUCAUUAAAUUGUGUCUCUACAAUUAAAAAUAUGAUCUAAGGCUGUAAUUUGUUUCCUCUAUGAACUGAUCCAGGGAGCCUGGUUUUCAAGAGGUCAAGAAAGUACAAGUCGUCAGAUUAGGUCUGUGCAGAUGGGGGCACAGAAGGGACCAGACAGGUGAAAGGAUGCUGGUGACAGUCUUUUGUAAGUCUCAUCACUUUGACUUGUGAAGAAGAAAAGGAAACCAUCUGUGCUGUCAUUCUUGUUAACCUUCUGCUUUGAAUAGGAAAGAUAAACCAAACAUUCAGAAUAGGUAAAUGAAUACAAAACGAUAUUUGCAUCAGGGUUAUUGAAAAUCAAACUAAGGAUGAAUAACCUUGCCUCUGUCUGUCACACACAUUUUCCAUGGUUUUGCAGAUACUUAUGUUUGUGGUUGAGAAGCUAUUUGGUUUAGGAGAAAAUCUUAAACAUUAAUUCUGAUUUAUAUUUGAAGCCAGUCU